RNAcentral lists this ribosomal RNA (486 nucleotides) under uncultured bacterium. Its description in RNAcentral is "partial 16S ribosomal RNA". It matches the Rfam family "Bacterial small subunit ribosomal RNA", at positions 30 to 507 of the family's 1533-position model. The record is from RNAcentral.
AUUGAACGCUGGCGGCAUGCCUUACACAUGCAAGUCGAACGGCAGCACGGGUGCUUGCCCCUGGUGGCGAGUGGCGAACGGGUGAGUAAUACAUCGGAACAUGUCCUGUAGUGGGGGAUAGCCCGGCGAAAGCCGGAUUAAUACCGCAUACGAUCUACGGAUGAAAGCGGGGGACCUUCGGGCCUCGCGCUAUAGGGUUGGCCGAUGGCUGAUUAGCUAGUUGGUGGGGUAAAGGCCUACCAAGGCGACGAUCAGUAGCUGGUCUGAGAGGACGACCAGCCACACUGGGACUGAGACACGGCCCAGACUCCUACGGGAGGGAGCAGUGGGGAAUUUUGGACAAUGGGCGAGAGCCUGAUCCAGCAAUGCGGCGUGUGUGAAGAAGGCCUUCGGGUUAUAAAGCACUUUUGUCCGGAAAGAAAUCCUUGGCCCUAAUACGGUCGGGGGAUGACGGUACCGGAAGAAUAAGCACCGGCUAACUACGUG